Molecule: ribosomal RNA, 1110 nt
Filed under: Triticum aestivum (bread wheat)
Lineage: Eukaryota; Viridiplantae; Streptophyta; Magnoliopsida; Poales; Poaceae
Description: partial small subunit ribosomal RNA
Source: RNAcentral
AUGGCCCCCGUAGCCCCCGCCGCCGCCCCUCCCCCUCCCCCUCCCAGCCCGGCCGGGGAUGAAGGCCCUGACCCGCGCCCCUCUCCGGCGGUCGCUCUUUUCGCNNNNNNNNNNNNNNCACCGGAGCCGGGCUCUCCGGCCCCGGCGCCGGCCGCUUCGGCCCCUGCGGCUUCGACCCCGGCGCCCGCCGCUCUGGCCCCGGCCGCCCCGGCUUGGGUGGAGGCUGGGAGACAGCGCCGCCUGAGCCUGGAGAAGGUGGCUGCUCCCCCUCCCAGGAAGGAUGCUGGACUGCCUCGCACUUUCAAGCAGAGGACUUUCGGCCUCUGCUUUUGGUGCUUGGCGUCGGACCACUUCGUCGUGGGCUGCCGCGGCCCUGUCCGGUGCUUGGGAUGUGGCCACUCCGGCCAUCGCGAGCGGGAGUGCUUGGCACGGCAUCCUGCCGGUUCAGAACCUCGUCGUCCCCCCCUCGCGCCUAUCGGGCCUCGUCAGCGGCCUCCCCCCUGCAGCGGAUCGCCUCCAGCCCCACUACAUCGUCCUGGUCGCACUUGGGCUUCGGUGGUUUCUCAUCAAGACAGCCCUGCGACUGAUGGUGUCGUGCCGGCGGCUGACCCCGGCGUGCCCCCUGCUGUUUUGGAGCCAUUGCGGCCUCUCCUUGCAGCUCAGGCGGAGGCGCUUGGCGCUGAGCUUCAGGCCUUGUUCGCUGCUCGUCUUGAGGUGCUGUUCAAGCCUCUUCAAGACUUGGUUGCUGCUGUGGAGAGUUGGACUGCUCAAGUCUCAAGCCUAUGGGAACCUAUGGAAGCUAUCGGGGGCAGCCAAGACCUUGCCAAUGUUGAAUCUGCUCCUCCUGUUGUGGCCGUUGGUGAGGAUUACAGUGCGCUUGUUGUGGCUGGUUGCUCAGCUGAGUUGAGUGAGAAGGCUCAGUCCGUUGAUGAUCCGCCUGCCUUGGAAAAGGUCAUGCUCGAGGAUGAUCCUCCUGACUUGGCUUCUGUCCUACCCGAAAUGUCGACACUGGAGGAGCCGAAGGUCUCCAGUGCCCCUUGCACUGGGAAGCCUUCAAAGGAGCUGAUCCAGAUGGAUGCAGAUGAGCCUCUUGGGAGAGCCUCCUCUUAG